UACGGAGGGUGCAAGCGUUAUCCGGAUUCACUGGGUUUAAAGGGUGCGUAGGUGGGCAGGUAAGUCAGUGGUGAAAUCUCUAAGCUUAACUUAGAAACUGCCGUUGAUACUAUCUGUCUUGAAUAUAGUGGAGGUGAGCGGAAUAUGUCAUGUAGCGGUGAAAUGCUUAGAUAUGACAUAGAACACCCAUUACGAAGGCAGCUCGCUACGCUAUUAUUGACACUGAUGCACGAAAGCGUGGGGAUCAAACAGG
RNAcentral lists this ribosomal RNA (253 nucleotides) under uncultured bacterium. RNAcentral's name for it is "partial 16S ribosomal RNA". It matches the Rfam family "Bacterial small subunit ribosomal RNA", at positions 524 to 776 of the family's 1533-position model. The record is from RNAcentral.